UGAAUGCUUUGCAUUUGAGGCGAUAUCCUUUUGGUGGCUGAGGCUCUCGAAGCCGCAAAAAGAUAUAGCCGAAAGCGGGAAUAGGG
This 86-nucleotide small RNA is filed under the name Flavobacterium cauense R2A-7. Its description in RNAcentral is "Flavo-1 RNA". The record is from RNAcentral. Lineage: Bacteria; Pseudomonadati; Bacteroidota; Flavobacteriia; Flavobacteriales; Flavobacteriaceae.